GUGCCAGCCGCCGCGGUAAUACGGAGGGGGUUAGCGUUGUUCGGAAUUACUGGGCGUAAAGCGCACGUAGGCGGAUUGGAAAGUUGGGGGUGAAAUCCCGGGGCUCAACCUCGGAACUGCCUCCAAAACUAUCAGUCUGGAGUUCGAGAGAGGUGAGUGGAAUUGCGAGUGUAGAGGUGAAAUUCGUAGAUAUUCGCAGGAACACCAGUGGCGAAGGCGGCUCACUGGCUCGAUACUGACGCUGAGGUGCGAAAGUGUGGGAAGCAAACAGGAUUAGAAACCCUGGUAGUCC
Molecule: ribosomal RNA, 292 nt
Filed under: uncultured bacterium
Lineage: Bacteria
Description: partial 16S ribosomal RNA
Rfam family: Bacterial small subunit ribosomal RNA
Source: RNAcentral